GAUGAACGCUGGCGGCGUGCCUAAUACAUGCAAGUCGAGCGAACAGACGAGGAGCUUGCUCCUCUGACGUUAGCGGCGGACGGGUGAGUAACACGUGGAUAACCUACCUAUAAGACUGGGAUAACUUCGGGAAACCGGAGCUAAUACCGGAUAAUAUAUUGAACCGCAUGGUUCAAUAGUGAAAGACGGUUUUGCUGUCACUUAUAGAUGGAUCCGCGCCGCAUUAGCUAGUUGGUAAGGUAACGGCUUACCAAGGCGACGAUGCGUAGCCGACCUGAGAGGGUGAUCGACCACACUAGAACUGAGACACGGUCCAGACUCCUACGGGAGGCAGCAGUAGGGAAUCUUCCGCAAUGGGCGAAAGCCUGACGGAGCAACGCCGCGUGAGUGAUGAAGGUCUUCGGAUCGUAAAACUCUGUUAUUAGGGAAGAACAAAUGUGUAAGUAACUAUGCACGUCUUGACGGUACCUAAUCAGAAAGCCACGGCUAACUACGUG
RNAcentral lists this ribosomal RNA (497 nucleotides) under uncultured bacterium. Its description in RNAcentral is "partial 16S ribosomal RNA". It matches the Rfam family "Bacterial small subunit ribosomal RNA", at positions 28 to 507 of the family's 1533-position model. The record is from RNAcentral.